CUCUGAACAGACUAUAGACUAGAUAGUGACAGCCUUACUAAUAUGUGAUGAAGCCAUUGCAGAUUAGUUAUCUAACCCUAUCAAACUAGUAAUCUAGUCUUAUUAAAUUUAGAGUUUCACUGGUUGUUAUGGCAAUAUAUAGUGUCAAACACCAGAAUGAAACGGGUGUUUUUUCUUUUAUUAUCCAUUUAAGAUAGGCAAUAUUGGAUGAGUUUUGGGGCAAGUGUCAGAUAUUAUCACUUAUCACUUAGUAUAUAUCAGAGGUGUACCCUUAAAGAAAAAGCAGUAUCUUAUUUCACCAUUAGGUCAUUCAAGAGCUUUGUUUUGAGACUCCUGACUCCCAGCUAUUUUUUAGUGGGAUUGGGUUACCAGUUAGGUACGGCUCGGUCACUAAUUUAGUGAUUCCAGUCUAUAUUUGGCAGCUGGGUUCUAAAUGGGGGCUGGGCAGCUUGGUGGGUUGGGUACUUAUCUCACAAUCAGGAGGUUGAGAGUUCAGUCCCAGGUCAUGGUUGCUUUUUGGUGAGAGAGGUAGCACUCUCUUGUAACCGUAGCAGAGCUGUGUGGUCUUAGCUCCCCAGUUUUGGGAGAUUGUAUUUUAAUCACCUUUAAUCUAUAUAGGAGAGGUUUGGAGUUAGGCCCUAGUUUUAUUUUAAUCACCUUUAAUCUAUAUAGGAGAGGUUUGGAGUUAGGCCGUAGCAUUAGAAAUUUGAAUUAUGCUGUUUGUAUAUUUAGAUUUACCAAGCAGUUUGUGAGAUCAUAACAAACAGUAGUGCAACUCAAACCAGCCAAGAGAAUAAUAUGAAAUUUAUAGUGGAUAUUCAACCAUUGACAUCAUCCAUGUUAUCAAUUAAGAUGUCAAAUAUAACGACUGAGUACAAUAAACAACUAUUCAUGGCUCUCCUUGACUUAAAAAAAAUAUUUGACUGUUAAGAGCUUCAGCAGUGAUGCAGGCAGUCAGGAAGUAAGGUGCCGGUGAAGUUGGUGAACCAUAUAUUAGUGUCUUGAAAGAUGCAGAUAAACAGGACAGCAACCAUUAAAUUUUACUAGAAAAGCAAGAAAAUUCAGAAAAAAAGUGUCAUAUAUGUUGAAGUUUUUACUUGGUUAAUUGUUAGUAAUGUGUGUGGAUUUUUAAAGUGGUGCAGCAAUGAUCCUGCUUGACCCACUCUCUUCUGUUAUUUUGCUGUAUCUGAUGGUUAUAUCUUGAAUAAACAUUGCAUAGUGUAAAUUAGCAUAUAAUCAACAUUUAUAUGUAUUGAUUACAUAGCUUGAUGUGUUUCAUGGGUCCUGAGCAACAUUACACAGCAUUGUGCAACACGGUGCAACAUACCAUAUCUUUCUAAAGGCUUAGAAGCCAUCGCAGUAUGCAUAUGAAGAUAUAUGAAGGAAUAAUAGUACAAUACAGCCUAUAGCACGCUCGCAAAAUAUGUUUUCCAUGUUUUCCUUAAAAAAAAAGAUGGAAGCACACCUAAUAGCAAGUAGUGCCAUCUGGUUUGUGGCUGACAAAAAUAAAUAUAGUUGACAAAAUCAUGAUGAAUAAGAAGUGGGAAUCUUAUGUAUCAGUGUCUAGACGAAGUAGUGGAAAGGAAAGUAAAGAGUAUUAGACCUCAAGGGUGUGAAUGUAGUGACGAGGAGCAUGACUGGAACCGUCUCGUAAAAGUGCUUGAGGAUGACCAGCGUUUAUCACUUCUACAAAAAGUUACCAAUGAAGUGGGAAGUGAAAUAAGCUAAGAAAAAAAAGAAAAAACUACAUGAUCAUAUCUAGUGUCUGGCCCACUUUUUAAGACGCACGAUAGACAGGUUAAUUAGUUAUCUUUGCCGCGGAAAGGCAACGCCGGUUCUGCUGUUAUGUAAUAUUAGAGUUCCAGAUGAUGACUUGCACUCUGGUAACCUCUUGUAUAGUGUUUCUUUGUGCUCUAGAUGUUAUCUUCCUAUGGUUGGCAUAAUUUGUUUAUCGCGCGCGUCCCUGUGUGUGUGUGUGUGUGUGUGUUCCUAGUUCAACUCGAGACUUAUGGGAAUAUGUUUUUUUUUUGUUUUCCUGGAUCCAAAGGUACGAAUAUAAAUCCUACGUAUCAGUAUGGCGCGCUGUCAGCCACUGGUAUGCAGGUAUUAUGUAUAUGGAGUAGUUGCACCACACAUUCCACACAUCUCUAUAUACCGGUACAUAAUAACUGCUAUCCAUCUAUUUCGAAAACUUGCUUGCUACCUAUAUACCUCGCCUGGAUGUGACGGUUCAGCAAAUCUCUAUAUUAUAUUUUCUUCCUGUCACGGUUGGAGUGGCAAGUUGAUACAAUUGCGUAGUCUGUCACACCUCGUGCCGAUGAAAGACAAAACAAGGUGCGCGACAGACACAUGGACACACUGGAGACACAUGAGGCAGAAGCACCACGCUUUCGUGCAUGUAUCGCCAACAAAUACUCUACUCCAUUGAAAGUGUUGUAGGACUUAAGAUUAGAUGAGAUAAUAUUCAAGACACGACCUUGGUUUGGGCGGAGCGGGGCAGAAGCGCCCUACAUUCUGUGCUCUUAUUGGCAGCCCCGCACCACAGGCUUGCCACGCGCCCUUACACGCACCGACGUUCAUUUAUGGUGUGUGUGUGUGUGUGUGUGUAUGUCGAGUAUAUAGGCUAGUCAUCUUACUCAUUGGCAUUCUCAGUUGAAAAUCAUUCGUAAGUUUACAACAUUUGAAACGCUGUGAUGUACUUGAAACGAUGAGCUGUGUUGUGUUUUACCACCUGACAGCUUGAGAGAGAGAGAGAGAGAGAGAGAGAGAGAGAGAGAGAGAGAGAGAGAGAGAGAGAGAGAGAGUUUAGGUACGGAAAUAUGAACCGUGAAUGAAAGUUUUGAUUGUUGCUAAAUUGAGCUUGGAAAUGAAAUGACUCUUCGACACGUGGGUGGGAGCUGGUGUGUCCUUGAUCAACGUCGUCAUAGAGGUGGGAGAUGCGAGUUGACGUGAGGGCUUGAUUUUUACUAAUGUUCGAAAAGUACUUACCAAUCCUCUUUAACAGUGGCAGUGGGAGUAGCAGCAGUCUUCUCUUAAGUGUGGCAGUGGGAAAAAGGAGCAGUCUUAACCGUCUCAGUGGGAAAAGUGGCAGUCUCAUUUAACGAUGCCAAUGUAAAAAGUAGCAGUCGUCUUUCAAGUGUGGUAGUGGGAAAAAAGUAGCAGUCUUAUUAACCGUUUCAGUGGGGAAAUGUAACAGCUUUUUUUAACUGUGGCCGUAGAAGAAAGUAGCUCCUCUAACUAUGGCAACGAGAAUCAGAAUCAGUAGAAGUCUAUAAAUGUGGCGGUGUGAAAAGUAGCAGUCUUUUCUCUCUCUGGCAAGACUAAUGAGCGUGGUUGAUAGGCGUGGUUCAGACUGUUGGAGGAAAACCAUUUCUAACGAGGCGAGGUGGUCGGGGGUGACUGGGCCGGGGUGGGUGGGGGUGAGGGGGGAAGGGGAGCGGAUCAAGACUUUCCCUGCAGAUCGCCAGUCACCCUCGCCCUCACCCAGUGGUUGCCUCCUUUGGUGGUGGGGACCUUGCCUCGGCCACAGGUUGUCCCUCCUCACCCCUGAUAUUCAUCCCUUAUGUUUUGUUCUGUGGGUAAAAAAUAAGAAAUAUCGCAGCUUAUUCUUGCCUGGGGGAGGUAUCAGACCGUGAUGCUGUAUGCGGUGUGUGUGUGUGUGUGUGUGUGUGUGUGUGUGUGUGUGUUUUCCUUAUUAUUUGCAUUUUAAAAAGGAUUGAGUUGAGCUCGUAAUGUCAAGUGUGUGUGUGUGUGUGUGUGUGUGUGUGUGUGUGUGUGUGUGUGUGUAAGUAGCAGCGUUAGGUGAUGUGGGAUAAAGAGCUGUGUUUGGAGGUGGUGGUGGUGGAGGUGCCGUCGCAAGAACCGGUUCAAGCGGUGUGUCCGCGUUUUUUCCUUCCUUUUUGUAACUUUCUUCACAAGUGACGGUGCAUGGCCGAGGUAUAAUGUUCUUGUAAUUGUGCCGGCUUACAUGGAACAAACCUUUCUUGUAGCUAAUGAGCCGGUUAAGCAGGGAGAAAAGCAGGGGCUGACAGUGUUUGCUAAGUUUAAUAAUUGCUUGAAUUGAAUUGAAUCUCGUCCAGUUAGUACUAGUUCAGUGCAAAACAAAGGCCUUUCCGAGCGUUUUCCAGUGUUCUGUCUGAUGUAACUGUACUCCAUCAUGCUCUGGCAAGCUCAUAUUUAACCUCACUGCCUCAGUCGCCGUCUUCCUGGACUGUACGAUUCUUGGGUUGCCUCAUUUAUUUUGGAACCCAAGCACUCAAGACGCACCGCUCAGGGAGAGGCUCACUUAUUACCGGGGAUCGGGUUUGACUCUUAUUAGCAUUACGUGUGCAGGAGGGAAUCGUCGGUGUUUGUGGAAUUAGAGCCUUUUCUUUGUGCCGAACGUCGAGGAAUCCGUCCUCUUACUCUGACGUACAAUGCAUGAAAUAUUAUUCUUUACCGGUGAUCAGCUUUUGUUCUCAGGGGUUUUACGUCACCGCUGUUUGUGGAAUUGAAGCGUUUUCCAGUUUUCCUUGAACUGGAUAUUGAAUCGAGGAAUCUAUUUACUUCGUCAGACACACACAACUGGGAAAAAAAAGAGAUUCACGGUGGUGGUGUUUGUUUGGUUUCAUGGUAGGCCGAACGGUGUUGUAGAGUAUUGUGAAUAUUACUUGAUUUUUUUUUUUUGGAUGGGAAUGAUAAGCGUAGACACCGUAAAGCCCCGUUCACACUGUUCCGACUCUGCGCCACGACAACCCAUCGACUUUUAGGCCCCCUUCACACUGGGUCGAAUCAGCAUCCAGCGAUCGUUUCUAGACCUUUCCGACCAUGUGCGACCCUUUCACAUCAACAUUUCACACCCAAGAACUCGAAUACCCCGAGUCGCUGGGUUGUCGUGGCCCAGAGUCGGCACAGUGUGAACGUGGCGUAAGAAAUGAUGAAUAGGUUCGUGAGUUCUGUUAUUCCAGGCAGUCGUGCAUUCAGGGUAAACCACAACAUUCUGAAAGUAGUUAUGUGACAUGCGUUUGAGAGGAAGUCUUUGGGAGUAUAUUGCGCGCGAACGGUCGGUCUUUGCAGUUGAUGAUAUGCGUGAGUGGGGGCAGUUUUCCUUGUUUGUAUUAUUAUGGAGGAUGUGUUUGAUGAGUUAAGAAAUGCAUGACGCGAACGGAUGGUCUUUACAGCUGGUGUCUUGCAUGAGCUGAAGCAGUUUUCGUUGUUUGUAUUAUAUGAAGGAUCUGUUUGAGAAGAAAUCUUUUGAAUAAUGUAAUGCGAACGGCCUUGCCUUUACUUUGUUUUGCAUAUGUUGGAACAGUUUUUCUUGCUUGUAUUAUGUGGCAUAUAAGUCUGGUAAGAAGUCUUUAGAAACACAUCACGCGAACGGCCUUGUAUUUGCUUUGUUUUGCACAUGUUGGAACAGUGUUUCUUGCUUGUGUGGCAUAUAAGUCUGGUAAGAAGUCUUUAGAAACACAUUACGCGAACGGCCUUGUCUUUGCUUUGUUUUGCAUAUGUUGGAACACUUUCUUUCUUGUGUUGUGUGGCGUAUAAGUCUGAUGAUAAGUCUGUAGAAACAUCACGUGAACAGCCUUUCCUUUGCCUGUGUUGGAGGAUUUUUUUUCUUGAAUGUAAGACAAGGCUUUCGUAGUCCACUCAGAACCCUCUUAGUGUGCUCAGAUGGCAUUACCGAUCCUCCUGACGUGUUGUGGCGCGGGUGCUGUAAGCCGUACGUGACUGCCGUGAUUUUUGGAGACUUCAGUAUAGUAGAUAGACACCAGCCAUCCCUCCCUCCCUCCGACCUUAACUCACCCCAACCCGCUCACCCCCGCUCACCCCAUCCCCCUCCACUCCACCUUCACCACGACCCUCCCCAUUCUCUUACGCAACCACUUGUUCUUCAUCGAGGUGCCUGUAUUGCCCGGAGUACCCCCCCCCAACCCCCGAGCCAUCUGCACAAACCGCCCACGGAGCUUCGUCGAUGAUUGCUCUUUGGGACAGGAGCUAAUGGUAGUGCGUUGCCCGUUUCAUGAUUUUUUUUUUUUUUCUGCCUCAGGUGCUUGUUCUGUCCAUGGACCUACCCCUUUGCUUUUCCAUUGUGUUCCCUUUCCUUCACUCGCUUCUGUUCGUCUUCCUAUGCCUCUUUCUUCUCCUUUCUCUUAGUUUUAUCUCCUUCCUUCAGUUUCAUCUUUUCAUAUUCCCAUCUUUCAUUUCCUUUCUCUUUGUUGCAAUUUCUUCCCUUCGACGUCAACUUGUAACACUUAUUAAACCCAGCAUUCCUACUCUUCAGGUUUCAAGUUAAGUACCUAUCUAGCACCCACAUGAUCUUUGCUGUCCAGUGAUAAGAUGUUUUUCACUCAUUCAUUCAUUUCGAGGUGUUUGUGUGUGUGUGUGUUCUACGUUCUGGUGGAAGAGACGCAAUGGUGGAGGAUCCGAGGAAGAAAGAAGGCAAGGUCUAAAGGAAGUUUGGGAGAAGGUGGCGUGGUUUUGCGAGGUGGACGAAGUGCUGCAUCGCUUCACUAGCUGACCCGAACCCACCAUCCUCUCCUUCACUUUCCCUGGGCAUCGAGUUUUUUGUCUGAUUUUAUUGGGCAAGGCCUUCGACGGUGUUUAGUGGGGAGAGACUGGAGUGGAGGGAGGAAGGAGAUUGUGGCGCGGUGUGGUUAGUGGUGCUGAUGGUUGUACUGGCAGUGUGGUAGGGAGGAAGAGGAUAAACCGGUCUUACUUUGUGUGUGUGUGUGUGUGUGUGUGUGUGUGUGUGUGUGUGUUGCCGUAUCUCGCUAUGGAAACACCUGUUCUUUCCUAACGUACCUGUCUUCCUUGUCUCAUUAAUAUUUAUCACCUUUCCUUCCCCUAACCUCUGCCACCUCUUCAUGUUCCCUCUUUCCACACUUGCAUCUUCAUCAUUUUCAUCGUCAUCACAUCCCCCUUUCCCUUCCCGCGGUUUUUGUACCCUGUCAUCUCCCCUUCCCCUUCUCCCUUUCCUGCCCUUUCUUCCCAUCCAUCCAUACAUGUGCGUGGUCGCGUUCAUCCAGAUAUUCCUCCCCAUUUCCUGUUACCCUUUCCUCACCCUCCUCCUCCUCCUCUUCCUCUUCCUCUUCCUCUUCCUCCUGCCCCUUUUCCUCGUACUUUCUCCUCUCACUCUCAGAAGCUACCUCAUGUCCCCGUCUGGUCUUGUGUAGCCUCCUUAUAUCUCUAUGUAUCUUCGAACAUAUUGCGGUCUCUUAGUUCAGCACCUCUUCCUCAUCUUCCCUUACCCUCCCACCUUCUUUAACCACUAACCCCAUGACAUACCCUCUUCAUUGAUCCACCUCAUUCACAGUCACCUCAUGCAACCUCUUCUCUCCUCCCUUGCCUUCCCACCUUCUUUAACCACUAACCCCACGACAUACCCUCUUCAUUGAUCCACCCCAUUCACAGUGUCACCUCAUGCAACCUCUUCCCUCCUCCCUUCAUUUUUUCCUAACACACUUACUACUUUGCCUUCUCUCGGUUCAGCGCUUCCUUUCUCACCCGCAUCCUUUUUGCCUCUGUAACCUGUGGUGUGUCCAUUCAUUCACUCACCCCGUUCAUGCUGUCCUGUCACCCCGUCCCGUCACCCCGUUCCAGCCUCCUCCACGCUCUCUUCUUCCUCACGCUCCCAGCUCCCCGUCUCCCCACUCCUACCCCGUCCUUUCAUCCCUUCUCACACGACACGUUUAGCCAGCACCUCCUCCUCCUCAUCUCGGUUUAACCACUAACCGCGUGACGUAACCUUCCUCCUCCUCCUCCUUCCAACCCAUUCAUCUCUCCCAUCUGACCCACUUUCAGUACCCCCCUCCCCCCAUCUUCCACCCAUUAGCCUAUUACCUAUUCCUUCUCUUUCCAUCCCGUUCAUGAUCAUACGUCUUCCUGGCCCAGUUUCCAAAGUUAAGAGGGUAUUUAUGGGUUGUUGAAUCAUAGUUUAAUCCCUCUCCGCAGUCUCAGGCUUACAAACUUUACUUACCGUUUACAUAUCUCUAAUUGGAACUUUUUAUUUUUAUUUUUGGAUUGUAUGCGCUAGUGUACAUUAUAUAACCAAAUUGGGAAUCCUCCUCCAAAGACGUCACUAGUACUAGAAAGUCUCUGACGGAAAAGCGGUGAUGCCAAGUUUGUCUUUUUUUCCCUCUUCUAAAUUUAGCUCCUCUGUCGAAGGUUAAGUCGUAGGAAGGAAGGAAGGAAGGGAGGGAAUAGCUACAGUGGUUGACGUGUGUGUGUGUGUGUGUGUGUGUGUGUGUGUGUGUGUGUGUAGCAAUGACCAUGAUGCAAUAUAAAUAAACAAACAGCAUGCGUAUAACAACAACAAAAAAAAUAUGAAAAG
Long non-coding RNA from Eriocheir sinensis (Chinese mitten crab), 8308 nucleotides. RefSeq lists it as uncharacterized. Lineage: Eukaryota; Metazoa; Arthropoda; Malacostraca; Decapoda; Varunidae. The transcript has 2 exons. The record is from RefSeq and is a predicted model, not a curated record.